This is a long non-coding RNA of Tympanuchus pallidicinctus (lesser prairie-chicken), 285 nucleotides long. RefSeq lists it as uncharacterized. The record is from RefSeq and is a predicted model, not a curated record. The transcript is spliced from 3 exons. NCBI's taxonomy places the organism in Eukaryota, Metazoa, Chordata, Aves, Galliformes, Phasianidae.
GUGUCCAAGUACUCCACGUGCCUGAAGCGUUCAGGCUGGGCUUUGCCAGGAUUCCCCAGUGGAUGAAGAGCCUGGUGUUGAUCUGGUCCUUCUCAGGAAAAGAAACUGGUAUUUUCAGUUAAAACAUCCCUGAGACAACAACAACAACAACCAAAAAAAGCAACUACGAGUUCCUGAAGGGCAUAUCUUGCAUCUGCAGAUACUUUAAAAACGACAGCAUCUGUUGAGAAAGAAAGACGAGAGUGGAGUGCAGUUAGCUGAAACCCCGGCCCUCGCACAUCAGCU